RNAcentral lists this ribosomal RNA (497 nucleotides) under uncultured bacterium. RNAcentral describes it as "partial 16S ribosomal RNA". It matches the Rfam family "Bacterial small subunit ribosomal RNA", at positions 28 to 507 of the family's 1533-position model. The record is from RNAcentral.
GAUGAACGCUGGCGGCGUGCCUAAUACAUGCAAGUCGAGCGAACAGACGAGGAGCUUGCUCCUCUGACGUUAGCGGCGGGCGGGUGAGUAACACGUGGAUAACCUACCUAUAAGACUGGGAUAACUUCGGGAAACCGGAGCUAAUACCGGAUAAUAUAUUGAACCGCAUGGUUCAAUAGUGAAAGACGGUUUUGCUGUAACUUAUAGAUGGAUCCGCGCCGCAUUAGCUAGUUGGUAAGGUAACGGCUUACCAAGGCAACGAUGCGUAGCCGACCUGAGAGGGUGAUCGGCCACACUGGAACUGAGACACGGUCCAGACUCCUACGGGAGGCAGCAGUAGGGAAUCUUCCGCAAUGGGCGAAAGCCUGACGCAGCAACGCCGCGUGAGUGAUGAAGGUCUUCGGAUCGUAAAACUCUGUUAUUAGGGAAGAACAAAUGUGUAAGUAACUAUGCACGUCUUGACGGUACCUAAUCAGAAAGCCACGGCUAACUACGUG